RNAcentral lists this ribosomal RNA (1282 nucleotides) under Escherichia coli. RNAcentral describes it as "partial 23S ribosomal RNA". It matches the Rfam family "Bacterial large subunit ribosomal RNA", at positions 1 to 1323 of the family's 2925-position model. The record is from RNAcentral. Lineage: Bacteria; Pseudomonadati; Pseudomonadota; Gammaproteobacteria; Enterobacterales; Enterobacteriaceae.
GUUAAGCGACUAAGCGUACACGGUGGAUGCCCUGGCAGUCAGAGGCGAUGAAGGACGUGCUAAUCUGCGAUAAGCGUCGGUAAGGUGAUAUGAACCGUUAUAACCGGCGAUUUCCGAAUGGGGAAACCCAGUGUGUUUCGACACACUAUCAUUAACUGAAUCCAUAGGUUAAUGAGGCGAACCGGGGGAACUGAAACAUCUAAGUACCCCGAGGAAAAGAAAUCAACCGAGAUUCCCCCAGUAGCGGCGAGCGAACGGGGAGCAGCCCAGAGCCUGAAUCAGUGUGUGUGUUAGUGGAAGCGUCUGGAAAGGCGCGCGAUACAGGGUGACAGCCCCGUACACAAAAAUGCACAUGCUGUGAGCUCGAUGAGUAGGGCGGGACACGUGGUAUCCUGUCUGAAUAUGGGGGGACCAUCCUCCAAGGCUAAAUACUCCUGACUGACCGAUAGUGAACCAGUACCGUGAGGGAAAGGCGAAAAGAACCCCGGCGAGGGGAGUGAAAAAGAACCUGAAACCGUGUACGUACAAGCAGUGGGAGCACGCUUAGGCGUGUGACUGCGUACCUUUUGUAUAAUGGGUCAGCGACUUAUAUUCUGUAGCAAGGUUAACCGAAUAGGGGAGCCGAAGGGAAACCGAGUCUUAACUGGGCGUUAAGUUGCAGGGUAUAGACCCGAAACCCGGUGAUCUAGCCAUGGGCAGGUUGAAGGUUGGGUAACACUAACUGGAGGACCGAACCGACUAAUGUUGAAAAAUUAGCGGAUGACUUGUGGCUGGGGGUGAAAGGCCAAUCAAACCGGGAGAUAGCUGGUUCUCCCCGAAAGCUAUUUAGGUAGCGCCUCGUGAAUUCAUCUCCGGGGGUAGAGCACUGUUUCGGCAAGGGGGUCAUCCCGACUUACCAACCCGAUGCAAACUGCGAAUACCGGAGAAUGUUAUCACGGGAGACACACGGCGGGUGCUAACGUCCGUCGUGAAGAGGGAAACAACCCAGACCGCCAGCUAAGGUCCCAAAGUCAUGGUUAAGUGGGAAACGAUGUGGGAAGGCCCAGACAGCCAGGAUGUUGGCUUAGAAGCAGCCAUCAUUUAAAGAAAGCGUAAUAGCUCACUGGUCGAGUCGGCCUGCGCGGAAGAUGUAACGGGGCUAAACCAUGCACCGAAGCUGCGGCAGCGACGCUUAUGCGUUGUUGGGUAGGGGAGCGUUCUGUAAGCCUGUGAAGGUGUGCUGUGAGGCAUGCUGGAGGUAUCAGAAGUGCGAAUGCUGACAUAAGUAACGAUAAAGCGGGUG